UUCAGAAUUGACGCUGGCGGCGUGCUUAACACAUGCAAGUCGAACGGAAAGGCCCUGCUUUUGUGGGGUGCUCGAGUGGCGAACGGGUGAGUAACACGUGAGUAACCUGCCCUUGACUUUGGGAUAACUUCAGGAAACUGGGGCUAAUACCGGAUAGGAGCUCCUGCUGCAUGGUGGGGGUUGGAAAGUUUCGGCGGUUGGGGAUGGACUCGCGGCUUAUCAGCUUGUUGGUGGGGUAGUGGCUUACCAAGGCUUUGACGGGUAGCCGGCCUGAGAGGGUGACCGGCCACAUUGGGACUGAGAUACGGCCCAGACUCCUACGGGAGGCAGCAGUGGGGAAUAUUGCACAAUGGGCGGAAGCCUGAUGCAGCAACGCCGCGUGCGGGAUGACGGCCUUCGGGUUGUAAACCGCUUUCGCCUGUGACGAAGCGUGAGUGACGGUAAUGGGUAAAGAAGCACCGGCUAACUACGUGCCAGCAGCCGCGGGUAAUA
This 492-nucleotide ribosomal RNA is filed under the name Cutibacterium acnes. RNAcentral describes it as "bacterial SSU rRNA". It matches the Rfam family "Bacterial small subunit ribosomal RNA", at positions 23 to 525 of the family's 1533-position model. Lineage: Bacteria; Bacillati; Actinomycetota; Actinomycetes; Propionibacteriales; Propionibacteriaceae. The record is from RNAcentral.